RNAcentral lists this ribosomal RNA (535 nucleotides) under uncultured Mycobacterium sp. RNAcentral's name for it is "bacterial SSU rRNA". It matches the Rfam family "Bacterial small subunit ribosomal RNA", at positions 54 to 606 of the family's 1533-position model. Lineage: Bacteria; Bacillati; Actinomycetota; Actinomycetes; Mycobacteriales; Mycobacteriaceae. The record is from RNAcentral.
CAUGCAAGUCGAACGGAAAGGCCCUUCGGGGUACUCGAGUGGCGAACGGGUGAGUAACACGUGGGUGAUCUGCCCUGCACUUUGGGAUAAGCCUGGGAAACUGGGUCUAAUACCGAAUAUGACCGCGCACUUCCUGGUGUGUGGUGGAAAGCUUUUGCGGUGUGGGAUGGGCCCGCGGCCUAUCAGCUUGUUGGUGGGGUAAUGGCCUACCAAGGCGACGACGGGUAGCCGGCCUGAGAGGGUGACCGGCCACACUGGGACUGAGAUACGGCCCAGACUCCUACGGGAGGCAGCAGUGGGGAAUAUUGCACAAUGGGCGCAAGCCUGAUGCAGCGACGCCGCGUGAGGGAUGACGGCCUUCGGGUUGUAAACCUCUUUCACUAGGGACGAAGCGUAAGUGACGGUACCUAGAGAAGAAGCACCGGCCAACUACGUGCCAGCAGCCGCGGUAAUACGUAGGGUGCGAGCGUUGUCCGGAAUUACUGGGCGUAAAGAGCUCGUAGGUGGUUUGUCGCGUUGUUCGUGAAAACUCACA